RNAcentral lists this transfer RNA (94 nucleotides) under Streptomyces purpurascens. Its description in RNAcentral is "tRNA-Ser". Lineage: Bacteria; Bacillati; Actinomycetota; Actinomycetes; Kitasatosporales; Streptomycetaceae. The record is from RNAcentral.
AGGCGAGGGCGACCUGGCCGGGCGUGGCGCCCUUGCUCUGGGCGAGGGUCGCGACGUGGUCCACGAGAGCCUGGUUCGCCACCCGGUUCGCCGC